GUAGCAAUGUUUGAACAUGGUCGGGCCAGAAAUAAGCAAGUUUUGACAGUUUAGCUAAUUAUCCGUUUUACCAGGUUUUACAUCUGAGUGAAAUACUACUAACAGUGUAUAGGUCUAGCAACUAGAGAA
This is a small nucleolar RNA of Candida albicans SC5314, 129 nucleotides long. NCBI's taxonomy places the organism in Eukaryota, Fungi, Ascomycota, Pichiomycetes, Serinales, Debaryomycetaceae. The record is from RefSeq and is a predicted model, not a curated record.